Molecule: ribosomal RNA, 468 nt
Filed under: uncultured bacterium
Lineage: Bacteria
Description: partial 16S ribosomal RNA
Rfam family: Bacterial small subunit ribosomal RNA
Source: RNAcentral
GACGAACGCUGGCGGCGUGCUUAACACAUGCAAGUCGAACGGGAAGGCCCUGCUUUUGUGGGGUGCUCGAGUGGCGAAAGGGUGAGUAACACGUGAGUAACCUGCCCUUGACUUUGGGAUAACUUCAGGAAACUGGGGCUAAUACCGGAUAGGAGCUCCUGCUGCAUGGUGGGGGUUGGAAAGUUUCGGCGGUUGGGGAUGGACUCGCGGCUUAUCAGCGUGUUGGUGGGGUAGUGGCUUACCAAGGCUUUGACGGGUAGCCGGCCUGAGAGGGUGACCGGCCACAUUGGGCCUGAGAUGCGGCCCAGACUCCUACGGGGGGCAGCAGUGGGGAAUAUUGCACGAUGGGCGGAAGCCUGAUGCAGCAACGCCGCGUGCGGGAUGACGGCCUUCGGGUUGUAAACCGCUUUCGCCUGUGACGAAGCGUGAGUGACGGUAAUGGGUAAAGAAGCACCGGCUAACUACGUG